GAGCCCCCGAACCUARACGAGCUACUUUAAGACAGCUUCUUGAGCGAACCCAUCUCUGUUGCAAAAUAGUGGGACGAUCUUAAAGUAGAGGUGACAGACCUAACGAGUCUAGUGAUAGCUGGUUGCCUUAGAAAAGGAUCUUAGUCCUACUUAAAGUUAUCUUAAUCUGUAAAAAUACUUCUUUAAAGUUAUUCAAAUAAGGUACAGCCUAUUUGAAAAAGGAUACAACCUCCUCUACUGGGUUAUAUAAUAAUAUUAAUAAUAAAGUAGGCCUAAGAGCAGCCAUCUUAAAUGAAAGCGUCAAAGCUCAAUUAUUUAUUUAUUUAAUYUCUUAAUCAAUUCCGACCCCUUACCUACUAAAAGGCAAAUCUAUAUAUCUAUAGAAAAUUUUAUGUUAAAACUAGUAAUAAGAAGCAGACCCUUCUCUCCCAAUGCAAGUUUUCAUCAGCAAGGACACCCCACUGAUAAUCAUC
RNAcentral lists this ribosomal RNA (473 nucleotides) under Phyllobates vittatus. Its description in RNAcentral is "partial 16S ribosomal RNA". It matches the Rfam family "Bacterial large subunit ribosomal RNA", at positions 710 to 1385 of the family's 2925-position model. The record is from RNAcentral. Lineage: Eukaryota; Metazoa; Chordata; Amphibia; Anura; Dendrobatidae.